UUCUAUUAUAAUUAUUAAUAGUAUAAUCUGCCCAAUGAUUAUUUAAAUAGCCGCAAAACGUGCUAAGGUAGCAUAAUCAUUCGUCUUUUAAUUGAAGACUAGAACAAAAGAUUUAACAUUUUAAUAAAUUUCUUAUUAAUAUUAUAUAUUUAAUUUAUUUYAAAUGUUAAAAAACAUUUAUAAAAAAAAAAGACGAUAAGCCCCUAUUGAACUUAACUUUAGUUUAACUGGGGCAGUUAAUUAAUUAUUAUUUUAAUUAAAAUAUUAUAAUAAAUAACUUAUUUCAUAAAUAAAAACAAGUUACCAUAGGGAUAACAGCAUAAUAAAUUUCAAAAGAUCUUAUUAAAAAAAAAGAUUAUGACCUCGAUGUUGAAUAAUAACCUAAUUUACGCAAUAGUAAAAUAAAGGAAGUCUGUUCGCCUUUUAAAAAAUUACA
RNAcentral lists this ribosomal RNA (436 nucleotides) under Apostenus californicus. RNAcentral describes it as "partial 16S ribosomal RNA". Lineage: Eukaryota; Metazoa; Arthropoda; Arachnida; Araneae; Liocranidae. The record is from RNAcentral.